This is a long non-coding RNA of Clupea harengus (Atlantic herring), 3235 nucleotides long. RefSeq lists it as uncharacterized. Lineage: Eukaryota; Metazoa; Chordata; Actinopteri; Clupeiformes; Clupeidae. The record is from RefSeq and is a predicted model, not a curated record. The transcript has 4 exons.
UGUGUGUGUGUGUGUGUGAGAGAGAGGUGGGGCGGUGGUUGUUUAUCUUGAAAAUGCAUCAUAUCCCACCAGUGGAUCAUCAUCCAUUCUGUUCUGGCUAUAGGAUAUCCCAUUUGUCUAUCCCUAGUUCACAAAAUGUGGCGUUGUUUCAGUAAAACGAACGUUUCUGAAAAGCGAGGGCAUUUAGAAUUGACUGGCGUGGUCGAUAUUAUUGAGAAAUGGCCUCUACUACGGGAAUCUGAUUCUCCACAACCAGACUCUACCAAACUCAAAUUAUUAUAAUUAUUUCUCCAGAAAAACACAAGUUUCUGUAUCCUAAUAUUUAGCUGUUAGUCUCUGUGUAGCAUACCAAUUAUAAUCGCUUGAUAAUUAUUGAUGCUGGUGACUGCAUUACCUCUGCCUGUGCAGUGGCACCUCAGUAGUAUCAAUCCGCAUUUAAAGUGACAGGAUUUUUGGUAACGGUACAUCCUUCUUGACUGGUACGGCACGGUUGUUCAUCUUCACACUACGCAUCGCAGUACACCUCGCCUACCUGUCUGAUUAACGAAACCACUCCUGAAGGUGGACUAAACCUAAGCUACUGACCAAAGACGACACUAUGGAUGCACGUCUAACUGCAAUUACCAGUCUCGUUUUAGUCUUAUCCACCACGGUAACAGGGUUCUGGUUCACACCAAUGGGCCCUCAGAUAUACUCCUGCCUCACCUACACAGAGAAGAACCUGAGAGUGGACUGUGAAUUUCCAGCCACCGAUCAAAUUCCAGGGCCAUACUGUGAGUUCAAGCAGGAUGGAAAGAUCAUUGGAACCACAUUUCCCAAUGUUCCCUCGUUUCUCAUCCCCACCCUUGAGGUCAGACGGCGCGCCAAUGUCUCACUGGUUUCCCCAACCAUUUGCCGCCUCACCUGGGCACCUAUGGCUGAUGACCGGUCCUACACCUACACUUGCAGGGUGUAUCAGGGAAGUAGUUGGAAGGAGAACAGCAUGGCAUUUCACCAGAAAAAUGUUCUUGUCUGCUCUGCUAUAAGCAUAAUAUUCCACACUGGACCAUGGCUGCUUGGGAUUGUGAUAUCACUUCCUGUUUCUUUGGGGGUUCUGUCUGUAUGGUGAACUACAAACAAGAAGUCGGUCCAAGUGCAGCAGACCAACUUUGAAGACCGUUUUAUAAUAUAUAUUUUUUUUCAAUUUGUUUUGUAACACUAUCCUUAGUAUGAGCAUAUGAUUGAGCUUUACACAAUCAUUGAAUAAUGCACUGGUAAUUGUUCACCUCUUAGCUUCCACCAGAGUAUGGUUUUCUGUAAAAAUAUCUUAAAUGAUACUCUCGAUAUUUUUUAAAGCGAUAUAGAACAUGGGGGUCAUAUGUGUGGUUUAUUUCAGCCACACUAACUUUUAUUUGAUUCUCAUGAUCACUUGCAUGACUACAGUUAUAGCCUCACAUCAGGUCAAGUUAGGUUUGCAGAGACGGAAGGCAUGGUGCUAUUUUUCGACUGGAAUAUACAGAUGGUCUAAUGCUGUAUGAGCAUCCACAAAUACUCCCCUUAGCUCUCAAGAGGACUUGCCUGUUUGCACCAAUCUAAUACAGAUGGUGCUGGAUUGAUUCUGGGCAUGAUUUUGUUUUGUAUUUUGCAAUCAACUGUACUCGAGCCUGUGUAUGUAUUAACAUAACUCAACUUUCUCAUACACGUGGCAUACAAGAUGACAUAGAGUCUCUAAGUUGUAUCCCCAGUGUCUACAAUGGACCCAUACUAAUCUAGUAUCAUGAAGUAAUCAGAAGGUACUACCAAAUUACCCUUUUCAGAGGAGACACCAACAUCCAGUAUUGUCAAAACAUCUUGUCAAAUUAUGUUACAUGUACACACUAUUUUGAGCUGUGCACAGAUAGUUGCGUAGUAUCAUAUUAGUCAAUAGAUUGGUAUUGGCCCAUACACCAAACUCAAUCAGGAAUCAGCACUAGUAGUAUAUAAUAGGUUACCAUUUAUUGCACUAAGGAUAGGUAUACCUCUCUGUAAUAGGUUAGCUUUUAUCACAUUAUGGGUCAGCAGUUGUUUCAAGUCUUCCUUUAGACCUCAGUGUUAUUGCACCAUCUAUUUCUCUUCUGUAGAACUCUGUGCAUUGACACUCAAACUUUUGUACUUUUUUGAGAGUUCUUUACAGCAGGUAUUUAUAUAUCAUUUACAGUAUCAUUUACUGUAAUUGUUUUCAUGGUUGCACUGCAUUUACAAAGAUACCUGAGCGUUAUGAUACAUUAUAACAAUCAUCAGCAUAAUUUCUGUAUGCAUUUUUGUAUUUUUUAACAGUCAAAUAAUGUUCUUUACAGACUGGCCUAUUUAGAGCCUUGGCUUAUUGGUACUGCGACAGUGGUUAUUUGAUCAAAGGAAAUUGAUAAGAUUUUGCAGCCUCCUGCUAAUAGGUUUAAUGGCUGUUUCCAUUACUCUCACCCCACAACACGUUUGCCUGGAACCUUUUGUAGUGCAUCUCUGAAAACAAAGCAGCUAAUGGGUCCUGUAUUAUUCUAAUCUUAAUUUUGGCCUUGGAGCAAGUCUGUAUGAGAACCAGCCUGGCUGAAGGACAUCACUGAUAGAUUGUAUUUCUACUGUUAUGUAAAGACACACGAUGCAAUGUUGAAAUUAAAUAUCAGCAUCACCCAUUUUGGUCAAGGGCAGUGUAAGCAGAGAGAUAAAUAAAGUGGGUUUCAGCUUAGUGAGUAUGGUACUCUAUAUUCGCUGCUAAAUCUUGGUAAGAAAUUGGCAUCUCUAUCCCAUAUUGUUGUCUAUGUGGACACGCUGAGGGUACAUGCAACAAACUUUUAAAUACUCUCAUCUUCUCCCCACUUUACCACCACCUCAGCUUCCACUGUGUUGCUAAUUGCAUUAAAUGUCUCUUAGGUGAGUUAUAGAUAAAUGACACUGCUUCCCUCAUUCAAAUGCCAAAUGUCUUGCAACAUAUACUGCUUUGCUCAUCAAGCACUUUUAAGCAUAAAUAAUGCAUGGCUUCCACACUGUGCCUUUUAUUAAUAUUGUACAAGAUUUCUUUCCUGGCGGUGCAUCAACAAUUAUUACUCAAGACUAUGAUUUGCAUCUGCAACACACAAAGAGACAUAUCUCUCUCUCUCUCUCUCUGUCUCUGUUUGUCUCUCUCUGUCUCUGUCUCUCUGUCUCUGUCUCUCACUGCACUUAAUAAAAGGAUCAAUGUAGAAAAUUGGCAAAAGAUAGAAAAUAAAGAUAUUACGACUGUAAA